GCUGUCGCCGGUGCUACCAUGGCGGCUAAGAAGCUUCUAAUCCUUUCGAUCCUCGCCUCGGUCCUCCUCAUCGGCGUCCGCGGUGACGCUGGUGCCGCCGCCGACGAGAUCCUUAAUCCUCCGCUGCCGCUACAGGCGGCCGCUGAUGAGUCCGGUUCCGCGCUCAGUAUCGAGGUGGAGCAUCUCAGAUCCAGGAUCUUGUCUCUAG
Molecule: unclassified non-coding RNA, 208 nt
Filed under: Hevea brasiliensis (rubber tree)
Lineage: Eukaryota; Viridiplantae; Streptophyta; Magnoliopsida; Malpighiales; Euphorbiaceae
Source: RNAcentral